This 251-nucleotide ribosomal RNA is filed under the name uncultured prokaryote. Its description in RNAcentral is "partial 16S rRNA". It matches the Rfam family "Bacterial small subunit ribosomal RNA", at positions 525 to 775 of the family's 1533-position model. The record is from RNAcentral.
ACGUAGGGGGCGAGCGUUGUCCGGAAUUAUUGGGCGUAAAGGGUGCGUAGGCGGCCAAAUAAGUCAGAUGUGAAAUACCGGGGCUUAACUCCGGGGCUGCAUUUGAAACUAUAUGGCUGGAGUACAGGAGAGGGAAGCGGAAUUCCUAGUGUAGCGGUGAAAUGCACAGAUAUUAGGAGGAACACCAGUGGCGAAGGCGGCUUUCUGGACUGUAACUGACGCUGAGGCACGAAAGCGUGGGGAGCAAACAG